UCUCUGGUUCUUUAGCCUAUUCAUAUUCACCUACUCUUCCUGUUUGGAUCCAAAUGGACUGUGAAAUUCUACAACAAAGAUACAAUUUGAUUGGUCCUUUUUCAAUUCUAAAUUAAGGAAUUGUAGCUGUUCUUCACUCCUAGGACAUCCAUAGUGUGCACAUUCUUUGCUUGCUGCACAGUCUUCCACCUGUAUAGGCAUUCUUAUGUGCAUGGCUUAGUUAUUUAUCAGUCCCCUGGGAAGAAAAUGUGGGGAAAAAAAUUCUGAUAUUAUUUAUUUCACAGAUGAAAUCAGCCCUCAUUCUACACAAAUAAAAAUACACAACUUUGUUAAACAGCCAUUCUUAAGAGCGUUGAUUUUUCACAGUUCAACAGAGUGCAGAGAAACGGAGAUGAAUAGUGGCAGGAACAGAGAGGGAUGUCAUAAUUUCAAGGAUCCCUUCAGGUACAGAAAGGCUUCAACUAUGUCACCACCCCAGAUUGUGAAGGAUAUAAACUCUUGGAUUGGGUCCAGAGUGGGGUCAUCAACAUGAUCAGAAGUUUGGAACAUCUCUCCUGUGAGAAAAGGUUUUUUGAGCACCCUAUAGGCUAAUUGAAUGCCCUCUAAAAAUAGUCUUCUAUGACCUGGGUAUAUUUCUGUCUAUAGGAUAUAUUCCUACUUACAUAUCUCCUACUGCCAGAGGGGGAUGGAGAAUGAGUUUGAAACACUUCAUGUCCUUCAUGGGCUCUCAGGAGUGUGAGAGACAGUCUGAAGAUCCCUCAUCUGCCUUGUGACUGCCAUCAAGGACAGAGAUUGAAGCCCCCCUCCAAGGACUGAGACUGAGACCCUUCAAAUUCUAACACAGGGGCGCUGGCCUGACUGAAGUGGGAUGUCUGCCAAGUGUUGCCUGCAGGUGUGUUUGCUGGACCAAGAAUGGUUUCCCAUGGGAACCAGUCCUGAAACAAUGGGCUCCGCUGGGACUGGUUUGUCCUGUUUUGUACUUGUUCUCAACAGACUUAUUCUCUACUGUCCUGUACCUGUUCCCUCGACAUACCAUCCUGUUCCCGCCACGGUGGAAGACUAUAAAAGACCCCUGAUUUAACCAAAGACUUGGAGAUUCUCCCCAGCUUGACAAGAUGGACCUAUUG
Molecule: long non-coding RNA, 1127 nt
Organism: Passer domesticus (house sparrow)
Lineage: Eukaryota; Metazoa; Chordata; Aves; Passeriformes; Passeridae
Exons: 4
Source: RefSeq, a predicted model, not a curated record